CUCUAGAUGGCAUGCUGAUGGAUCUGACAUGGUAAGGCUGAUUAGGUGUUGCAGGACAACCAGCCAUAUCCACCAGUAUGUUGUUGGAAGGCCUUUGGAAUGGAUUGCCAAAUGAAGAGUAGAGCAAAAACGAUGGGAAGAUGUGAACAAGCCUGGAACUUCCCCUAAUUAUAGUCCCUAUUUCAUAAAGCAGAUGGGAGGAAAGUCGAAUCUAACCAGCCGAGCUCAAUAUGAUAUGCCAAUCUUGCAAUUUAGAUCUUGUAGCCUCAUCUCUGAUCAGGAUACAUACUUGAAAGAAGCAUGAUAUGUCCCUUUUCCAUCCCUCUACUUCCUGUCGCGUGCCACAUAACCUCUUUUUCCGUGCAUUGAAGAGAAACGACCACCUGCAAGUCUUCAUUCUCCCUGUCUGCAUUGUCAAGAAAGAUGACACCAGAUGAAGCAGAGGUAGUUGUGAUUGGAUUGAGAUCCCCAGAGAUUCUACCCACAAUAGGCUGUCUUUCGAAUUACCACAUAAAUCCGGCAUCGACUAAUCUUCCAGCCAUUUCCACUGCAUGUAAAAGUGAAGGCUUGGUUGCAUGGCGACUGAACAAGCCCCUCAUUGAUUCGUGUGCAGCUGCAAUCUCUCUCAACCACUUGAAUAUAUUGAAAGGCAUAUCAGCAUAACAACUGAAGAAGCGGAAAGGAAAUGAGCGUGGGGUUUCAUUCUUUUGCUCCUCUGCUUUUAAGACAUCAACAUCCACAUCUUUAGGUUGGUCCGAUGGGAAACGACAAGAAUAGCGAUAUUUCUUUUCUUUACUCUCCCACUCUUUCGAGAGUUGCUAGGUGCUGCUAUCUCAUGUGAUGUCAAGGUGGUUCUUGGCUUGCAAUGUAUUUCUUUUACUGGCAUCUUCCAAAUAGGUCAGCGGUCAUUUCUGUUUCUGUAAUUCUUGAAGAAAUGGUUGCCUGGCAAUUUGUUCAUCGCCCAACAUGUCAUGUCCCAUCAAUUACCAGCAAGAUGCAAGACCUGAGACUAACAACUUUUUUAUGGUUCAAUGCAGUCAGAAACACACAAAGAAUCUGAUCAAGACAUAUGUUACGGCAUUAGAAUAUAAUAACUCCUCAACUAAACUAUUUGUUUAUGAUGCACAGGUGCAGUAUGGCAGCUUGUCUGCCCAACAAACUACCACUCUCUAUGGUGGUUUGCUGGAUUUGCACAUAUAUGUUUCAGGUGAAGUAGGAAUGUGCACAUGUUGAUAAUGGCCCUUGAGUACAUAUGGUCAGCAACACACAUCUUGGAGUGAUCUCAAUGGCAAGAUGUUCUGCAGAACCGAAAGAUUCCAAAGUAUUAUAUAGUUGGGGUUCCUUCAAGAAACACAAAGAAAUUGUGUAUAUGGUCAAGCUGUGGCCAACCUGUUUUGUAAUGUCGGCAACUGAUUUUGUGCCCUCUGUAUCUUCCCAUCAUUAUCUUCAAUUUCCUCUUGCUCGCCCUCACAGGCCACUUUCCUCUUUUGCAAUGCCUUUGAGAUAAGAGACCAUCUGCUAGCUUUGCCUUGCGGCGUCGGCAUGGACAAGAAUUUGAAGAUGGACUGGAGAAGGGAAAUGGUGAUUGCUCUUGCUUCUCUCAGAAUCUCGGUCACCAUCCAUGAGUCCUUGCCGUUGCUACAACAUGAGACAUACUUGUCAUCCAUCUGCUUCAGUAAUUUGAAGAUACUCUUGAUACCCUUCUCUUCCUUCUUGUCAAAACGAAUUCUCUCAUGAUGCCAAGCAAGUCCAGCAGCCUGACAGAUCCGUCCAACUCCACUUCCACACUUUCUUUUUCUUGUAUGUUGGAAUAUUUGCUCAUAGGCAAGUGGAGAAGCUCCUCGAUGCACUCGUACAAACCUCCGAGCGCUCUCAAUCCCUCGCAUAUAGUUUGGGCUGAUAAACAGGAUUGAGCC
Long non-coding RNA from Musa acuminata AAA Group (dessert banana), 1916 nucleotides. RefSeq lists it as uncharacterized. The transcript is spliced from 5 exons. Lineage: Eukaryota; Viridiplantae; Streptophyta; Magnoliopsida; Zingiberales; Musaceae. The record is from RefSeq and is a predicted model, not a curated record.